GAUGAACGCUGGCGGCGUGCCUAAUACAUGCAAGUCGAGCGAACAGACGAGGAGCUUGCUCCUCUGACGUUAGCGGCGGACGGGUGAGUAACACGUGGAUAACCUACCUAUAAGACUGGGAUAACUUCGGGAAACCGGAGCUAAUACCGGAUAAUAUAUUGAACCGCAUGGUUCAAUAGUGAAAGACGGUUUUGCUGUCACUUAUAGAUGGAUCCGCGCCGCAUUAGCUAGUUGGUAAGGUAACGGCUUACCAAGGCAACGAUGCGUAGCCGACCUGAGAGGGUGAUCGGCCACAAUGGAACUGAGACACGGUCCAGACUCCUACGGGAGGCAGCAGUAGGGAAUCUUCCGCAAUGGGCGAAAGCUUGACGGAGCAACGCCGCGUGAGUGAUGAAGGUCUUCGGAUCGUAAAACUCUGUUAUUAGGGAAGAACAAAUGUGUAAGUAACUAUGCACGUCUUGACGGUACCUAAUCAGGAAGCCACGGCUAACUACGUG
Molecule: ribosomal RNA, 497 nt
Filed under: uncultured bacterium
Lineage: Bacteria
Description: partial 16S ribosomal RNA
Rfam family: Bacterial small subunit ribosomal RNA
Source: RNAcentral